CGGUUUCUCUCUUUGGUUUGUGGGGAAUUGAAGUUUCGGUGUUAUGGGUCUAUUGGAUUUAGUUUUAGGUGUUUUGUUUAUUCGCCGGUAUUAGGUGGAUCUUUUCUUCUAGUUAUUGAGGAGAAUUAAGUUAGUAAUAAGGGACAGAACUACUCAUGUAGUUCAAAUUAAAUUGAUGGCUAGUGGCUACCUCAGUGGAAGAGAUGAUAAGACUCCGUUGCAGGUCAAACUGGAUGGUGUUUCCACCAUUAUUGUGGGUGCUUCAGGCCUUGGGCGGUUGGGAAGGUGAACUUGGUUACUAUCACCAGCUUCUCGAAGACGAC
Long non-coding RNA from Papaver somniferum (opium poppy), 323 nucleotides. RefSeq lists it as uncharacterized. NCBI's taxonomy places the organism in Eukaryota, Viridiplantae, Streptophyta, Magnoliopsida, Ranunculales, Papaveraceae. The record is from RefSeq and is a predicted model, not a curated record. The transcript has 3 exons.